RNAcentral lists this ribosomal RNA (460 nucleotides) under uncultured bacterium. RNAcentral's name for it is "partial 16S ribosomal RNA". It matches the Rfam family "Bacterial small subunit ribosomal RNA", at positions 338 to 795 of the family's 1533-position model. The record is from RNAcentral.
CCUACGGGAGGCAGCAGUGAGGAAUAUUGGUCAAUGGACGAGAGUCUGAACCAGCCAAGUAGCGUGAAGGAUGACUGCCCUAUGGGUUGUAAACUUCUUUUAUAUGGGAAUAAAAUGUUCCACGUGUGGGAUUUUGUAUGUACCAUAUGAAUAAGGAUCGGCUAACUCCGUGCCAGCAGCCGCGGUAAUACGGAGGAUCCGAGCGUUAUCCGGAUUUAUUGGGUUUAAAGGGAGCGUAGGUGGAUUGUUAAGUCAGUUGUGAAAGUUUGCGGCUCAAGCGUAAAAUUGGAGUGGAAACUGGCAGUGGUGAGUACAGUAGAGGUGGGCGGAAUUCGGGGUGUAGCGGUGAAAUGCUUAGAUAUCACGAAGAACUCCGAUUGCGAAGGCAGCUCACUGGACUGCAACUGACACUGAGGCUCGAAAGUGUGGGUAUCAAACAGGAUUAGAUACCCCAGUAGUC